GCCCUGGCCCUUGCGUUUGCUAUUGAGUUUCCUGGGGGGGUGGGGGGAACUCCACUGGCCUCAGGGGCUGUGCUGAGUCUGCUUGUUACUGGACAGCUGGACUGUCCACUUAGAGGCCUGGCCAGGCAGGCCUUGGCUGAACCCUGUUUCACUUUGUUUUCCUCCACUUUGUUCUCCUGGAGCUCUCUGUGCUUUUUCCCACCCACAGAUGUGAAUGUCCCAUGAUGUCGGCUUUCCAGAGCCCUGCAUGGCUUGGUUGAAGCAGAAGAGAGCUUGUUGGGCACCUUCUCUGGAACUGGAGGCCAGCCUGCGCUCUUCUGAAAACACAGGAGGCUUCCUGUCCCUGCCUUGCUGGGCGGAGUGAGACUCUGCGGCAUGGUCUGGCGCGGAGACCCGUGGUCCUGCUCGGGACUGGCAGUCUUAGGCUGAGGGAACAUUUUCCAGGGUACACUUGAGGGACAGAACGUCUCAGUGAGAUGGGCUGGGAAUAGGCAGAGUUUUGGAAAAGCCCCUGCUUGUUCUGGGAGGUGUUCAGGAUGCUGAGGUUUUGGAAAUCCAUGGCAGCUCUUCACAACUGCUCCCAGCUUUGGGAAAGGAAUGGAUGGGUGCUAAUACCUUGAAUUCAGUGGCAGAGGUGAAGCCCAGCCAUGCUCAACUGGGACUUAGGCCUCUGCUGGGCCUGAGGAAGACAUUGCACUUGAAGAGAUGUAGCCUAGAGGACUCAGCCCCUGGAGUCACCAGAUGCUGUUUUCAUGGGGCAGCCUUGGCUGGAGCUCUGCUAGGCACAAAGUCAGUGGGGCCUUUGGACCUGGACUCAAAGGGUGUCUGCCUCUGAUGAAGCAGGUAGAACUCCCAGUGUACACCCAUAAGCCAGAACAUGCCGAAGGCAUCUGACCAGGCAGAUCAGUCUCAUUGCAAAGAGAGGCCAGGGAAGGGGAG
RNAcentral lists this long non-coding RNA (939 nucleotides) under Marmota monax (woodchuck). Lineage: Eukaryota; Metazoa; Chordata; Mammalia; Rodentia; Sciuridae. The record is from RNAcentral.